AAAUUGAAGAGUUUGAUCAUGGCUCAGAUUGAACGCUGGCGGCAGGCCUAACACAUGCAAGUCGAACGGUAACAGGAAGCAGCUUGCUGCUUCGCUGACGAGUGGCGGACGGGUGAGUAAUGUCUGGGAAACUGCCUGAUGGAGGGGGAUAACUACUGGAAACGGUGGCUAAUACCGCAUAACGUCGCAAGACCAAAGAGGGGGACCUUCGGGCCUCUUGCCAUCAGAUGUGCCCAGAUGGGAUUAGCUAGUUGGUGAGGUAACGGCUCACCAAGGCGACGAUCCCUAGCUGGUCUGAGAGGAUGACCAGCCACACUGGAACUGAGACACGGUCCAGACUCCUACGGGAGGCAGCAGUGGGGAAUAUUGCACAAUGGGCGCAAGCCUGAUGCAGCCAUGCCGCGUGUAUGAAGAAGGCCUUCGGGUUGUAAAGUACUUUCAGCGGGGAGGAAGGGAGUAAGGUUAAUAACCUUAUU
Molecule: ribosomal RNA, 476 nt
Filed under: Salmonella enterica subsp. enterica serovar Heidelberg
Lineage: Bacteria; Pseudomonadati; Pseudomonadota; Gammaproteobacteria; Enterobacterales; Enterobacteriaceae
Also listed under: 3 other names
Description: bacterial SSU rRNA
Rfam family: Bacterial small subunit ribosomal RNA
Source: RNAcentral